UCGUCAGCUCGUGUCGUGAGAUGUUGGGUUAAGUCCCGCAACGAGCGCAACCCUUGUCAUUAGUUGCCAUCAUUUAGUUGGGCACUCUAAUGAGACUGCCGGUGACAAACCGGAGGAAGGUGGGGAUGACGUCAAGUCCUCAUGGCCUUUAUGUCCAGGGCUACACACGUGCUACAAUGGGCGGAACAAAGGGUUGCAAUACCGCAAGGUGGAGCUAAUCUCAAAAAACCGCUCUCAGUUCAGAUUGGAGUCUGCAACUCGACUCCAUGAAGGCGGAAUCGCUAGUAAUCGCGGAUCAGCAUGCCGCGGUGAAUACGUUCCCGGGCCUU
This 329-nucleotide ribosomal RNA is filed under the name uncultured Geobacter sp. Its description in RNAcentral is "bacterial SSU rRNA". It matches the Rfam family "Bacterial small subunit ribosomal RNA", at positions 1052 to 1382 of the family's 1533-position model. Lineage: Bacteria; Pseudomonadati; Thermodesulfobacteriota; Desulfuromonadia; Geobacterales; Geobacteraceae. The record is from RNAcentral.